AACGGCUCUUCGGAGCAGUGGCGGACGGGUGAGUAACGCGUGGGAACGUGCCCUUUGGUUCGGAACAACACAGGGAAACUUGUGCUAAUACCGGAUGAGCCCUUCGGGGGAAAGAUUUAUCGCCAUUGGAGCGGCCCGCGUUGGAUUAGGUAGUUGGUGGGGUAAAGGCCCACCAAGCCGACGAUCCAUAGCUGGUCUGAGAGGAUGAUCAGCCACACUGGGACUGAGACACGGCCCAGACUCCUACGGGAGGCAGCAGUGGGGAAUCUUGCGCAAUGGGCGAAAGCCUGACGCAGCCAUGCCGCGUGAAUGAUGAAGGUCUUAGGAUUGUAAAAUUCUUUCACCGGGGAAGAUAAUGACGGUACCCGGAGAAGAAGCCCCGGCUAACUUCGUGCCAGCAGCCACGGUAAUACGAAGGGGGCUAGCGUUGCUCGGAAUUACUGGGCGUAAAGGGCGCGUAGGCGGACAGUUUAGUCAGAGGUAAAAGCCCAGGGCUCAACCUUGGAACUGCCUUUGAUACUGGCUGUCUUGAGUUCGGGAGAGGUGAGUGGAAUGCCGAGUGUAGAGGU
This 569-nucleotide ribosomal RNA is filed under the name uncultured Alphaproteobacteria bacterium. RNAcentral's name for it is "bacterial SSU rRNA". It matches the Rfam family "Bacterial small subunit ribosomal RNA", at positions 65 to 682 of the family's 1533-position model. The record is from RNAcentral. Lineage: Bacteria; Pseudomonadati; Pseudomonadota; Alphaproteobacteria.